AUAUACAGUAAAUAAAAUAAAAUAGUAGAGCAAACAUUAAGUUAAGUGAAAAAGGUAUUUACAGUGUAAUAUGUAUUAAAUUAAAUUAGAAAAUUAAGUUAAGACAGUAGUGUUGUAGUUCAAGUAAGUUCAAGUAAACAAGGAUUUAGCCAGAGGUAUUAUGUUGUGUUCUGUUGUAAAGUCUUAUUGCCGUUGGCAGGAAUGUUUUCCCGUAUCUGUCCUUGUGACAGUGGAGCUGGAUCAGCCUGUUGGAGAAGAGGGUGGUCCGGGUUGUCCAAUAUGGACAACAGUUUCUUCAGUGUCCUCCUCUCCACCACCUGUUCAGGAUGCUCUUGCUCAUGCAUCCUCCCAUAGACUUCCUGUCAACAAAAGCUUUCCUUUCCUUCACCGGGACCUUGUCGCUUUGACCGAAACAGAGUAACAUGAGUUUCUAUUUGCAGACGGCACGAUUGAAAUUGUAUUGGUGAAAUGAUGUGCUACGAAUUGGAACAGCAUGAUUUUAAUACAUCAAAUCAUUUUCCCCUUUCAACCCUGCUGUUUUAUUUUUUCGCUUGUUUGUGAUUAAUAUUCCCGAAAGAAACCUUUGUUGAAAACAUGUGCUGUUCCUCGUUUUUAACAGACAAUUUCCUUCCUCACUUAGUGUGAUUUUACCCUAAACUUCUAAUCAUCUGCCUUUCCUUUGGCUAUCCAUCACUCUCCAGAAAGCACUGUGAUCAAUUGAACUCUGAUGGGCAUGUUGGCUGUAUCCAUCAAACACGCCUAUUUAUGACAGCCAUUGGAAAUUAAUAUUUAGCUGCUUUCGGUGCACAACUUUGUGGAUGCUAUGUGAGCGCUUGCAUUCCUCUGAGGGCAGGAAGUGUGUGUGUGUGUGUGUGUGUGUGUGUGUGUGUGUGUGUGUGGGGAUAAGUGACAGGGUUAAGGACCUCUGAUGAUGCCCUCCAUCUCUUUACCUGUCUACCAUGUGAGACGCUGCCCAGUGCUAACAGGGAAACUGAAUGCCAAUCAGCAGUGGCCUGCAGGUCAUGUGUGGUCAACAUUAGUUAGAAGAGCGGGGUGAGAAGCUGUAGCGUGGACUUUGUAAUGUUUUAAUGAGCCAUCCGUGGGUGUGUACCUGGUUAUUAGACUUGUGGUCCGUAGUUGCCGGGGGUGCCAGAGGAAACGGGAAACCGUUUUGGACACGUGCGUGUGGAGAAAUGGAGAGUUUUUUGUCUGCCGAAGACCAGACGAGAGCUCAGUUCUACCCAUAGAUGGCGGCAUUACACUCAGAGUGCUCCUCCCCAGUGUCACACCCCUCUUACAUGGCUUUCAGUGCAGCACAACAGAGAUUUUCCCCGUGACACUGUUGAUCCCUAAAGGGGAAUUUUCUUUUCACACCCUGCGGAGGUCAACGCAGGCUGCAGUGUCCUGGAACUGUGGUGCUCUCAUUUUCCUUCUCUAGGACACACGGGCCGGCCAAGUUCCCCUCUGUCAUUGGGCUGCUUAGUGGAUCACGUCACAUUUGGAACGAUUUUUGAAUGCAUGACCAGUCACUUUAUAACACAAUGAGCGUAAAAACUAAUUCCCAUUACAAAUCAAUAUAUUUUCAUGGUGAAUCAGAGGGCAGUCAUUGUGCCACCCGGCCCCAGUGUCACGCAUUGGAGCGUCACUCCCAUCACUUUUAAGUUAAACAAAAAAAUAAACUUGUAAGGGUUAAACAAAAAAGAUCAUUUAUUCUGGUAAGAUAUUUUGUUCAUGUUGGACUGGACCAGGCCAGAUGUUUCCAGGUGUUUCCAGUUUAGCCUGGUGCUCCAACUACAUAUUUACCGGACAGAAUGGAAAGUGUUUUUCAAUCUAACUCUCGGCGGGAAAGCAAAUAUCAAUCUGAGCAUUCUUGAGCAUCAGACCACACCUUUAAAACCAGAGGACCGGCUUAUGGGCUCCCACUCCGCCACGCAGCCGUUAUAAACUGGGUCACACGAUCUGUUGUGCAGAUGCUCCUACGUUCUGUUUACCAUCACGAGCCAUGAAAUUGAUUCUUUUUAUCUGUGUGUUAGUAAGCGUUUUCAUGGUGUGAAACAGGUUGCUCUCCCUCUUUCCUUCCAUGCCCCCGCCAUACAGUACCUGGUAUGUCUGUGUUGUGUGCGAUUUACUCAUUUCAUGGUUGAUUUGUUGCCUCACGAGCUCUGUUAAUAAACAAGAGCCUUUGUUGCCGCUGCCUCUCUGACACCUCUCCGCCUCGGCUGUCAGGCGACUUGUCUUGGAUGAGGUGAGGCGUCAUGCUCAUCAGCAACCUGCCGUUGUAUCGAUUGGGAAAAAAUAAAUACUGUUUAACUCAUUACCAACUUCAACGUCACCUCUGAAGGGAUUACAGCUUCCACUGCCAAAUCAGCAAAUCUAUUAUCUUGUUGUAUGACAGUGGAUUUGCAAAUUAAAAGAUUCUGACUUGAAUUUUUAAUACAACUAAUAUAAAUUUCCUGGCUGCGUUGUCCCUGUACAUGUGUCGUCUAUCUGAAGAAAGUAUUACAUGAGAAUUCCUCAACGGCAUUCAGAAUACAGUUGUGGUGAGAGAAAGCAGUGCUGAGCGUGCGCUAAGCAAGGUACAUUCUUCCAUUCAUCCUCCCCUCUCCUCCCCUCCCCUCUCCUCUCCUCUCCUUGGGUUUUAUGUAUUUCAAGAGCAUCUGCAAGGCUGACACAGUCUACAAAAUUCUUCUCUUUCAUUGCAAGCUUGUGACAAGCUUUAAGGGAAGACGUACAAAAGAACAGCAUAAAUAUGACUAUAAUAAUAGCCACGAUGAUUCUGAGGGUAUAGGUUUUUUCCGAUAUGUUCAAUAAAGAAAAGCAGA
Gasterosteus aculeatus aculeatus (three-spined stickleback) is the source of this 2822-nucleotide long non-coding RNA. NCBI's taxonomy places the organism in Eukaryota, Metazoa, Chordata, Actinopteri, Perciformes, Gasterosteidae. The record is from Ensembl.